This is a long non-coding RNA of Limulus polyphemus (Atlantic horseshoe crab), 498 nucleotides long. RefSeq lists it as uncharacterized. The record is from RefSeq and is a predicted model, not a curated record. NCBI's taxonomy places the organism in Eukaryota, Metazoa, Arthropoda, Merostomata, Xiphosura, Limulidae. The transcript is spliced from 2 exons.
UAGCCUACUACUGUCGUGUUGUGAUGAAAAUCAUUAGUUUAACUGUUGAAAGUAAAUCGUUAUUUCUGAGACAUACAACUGGAUUCAAAUAUUUCAAAAUUUUAUUUUAUUAAUCCAUUGUUUGCUUUAUUACAUAUCAACUUUAAAAAAGAAAUGUGGUCAGUGAUAAUAUUACCUUUCAGUUUCAUUAUGUUAAGUUAAAGUAGUGAAAUAGUAAUAAUAAUAUAACUUGUGUAGCGAUAAAGUUGGUAUUGCACUUGUUCAAGUUGUUGAGUAGUUGUGACAUCUUUAUUAUUACCAUUACUGAGGAAGACCGUGAGUAGCAUAAUCCUAGUAGCUUUUAUAACUAGAAAUUACUUUCUUUAAAGUUUCAAGUUUUUAUCAUCACAGAACUUCGAAAUCAAAGAAAAAUAUGUCUACAGCUUCUACAGCGAGUACACCUCAACAGGCAAACUCUUCACCACAAGUUGUGCAAGAAUUUAUUGUGCGUGUGCCACA